UACGUAGGGGGCAAGCGUUGUCCGGAUUUAUUGGGCGUAAAGAGCGUGUAGGCGGCCAGGUAGGUCUGCUGUGAAAACUCGAGGCUUAACCUCGAGCUGUCGGCGGAAACCAUCUGGCUAGAGUCCGGAAGAGGAGAAUGGAUUUCCCGGUGUAGCGGUGAAAUGCGCAGAUAUCGGGAAGAACACCCGUGGCGAAGGCGGUUCUCUGGGACGGUACUGACGCUGAGACGCGAAAGCGUGGGGAGCGAACAGG
RNAcentral lists this ribosomal RNA (253 nucleotides) under uncultured bacterium. RNAcentral's name for it is "partial 16S ribosomal RNA". It matches the Rfam family "Bacterial small subunit ribosomal RNA", at positions 524 to 776 of the family's 1533-position model. The record is from RNAcentral.